CCCGCCGUAGCUCAGCGGUAGAGCGCCCGGCUGUAGGACCCGUACGUGGUCCACCCCCGGAGUGGGGCACUCAGCCCCCAGAUGAAGGGGUGGGCAGCAGAAACCGGGUGGCCCGGGGUUCGAGUCCCCGCGGCGGGA
RNAcentral lists this transfer RNA (138 nucleotides) under Ignicoccus islandicus DSM 13165. It matches the Rfam family "tRNA". From Rfam's summary of the family: Transfer RNA (tRNA) molecules are approximately 80 nucleotides in length. Lineage: Archaea; Thermoproteati; Thermoproteota; Thermoprotei; Desulfurococcales; Desulfurococcaceae. The record is from Rfam by way of RNAcentral.